RNAcentral lists this ribosomal RNA (456 nucleotides) under uncultured bacterium. Its description in RNAcentral is "bacterial SSU rRNA". It matches the Rfam family "Bacterial small subunit ribosomal RNA", at positions 329 to 803 of the family's 1533-position model. The record is from RNAcentral.
UGGCUAACUCCUACGGGAGGCAGCAGUGGGGAAUAUUGGACAAUGGGCGAAAGCCUGAUCCAGCAAUGCCGCGUGAGUGAUGAAGGCCUUAGGGUUGUAAAGCUCUUUUACCAGGGAUGAUAAUGACAGUACCUGGAGAAUAAGCUCCGGCUAACUCCGUGCCAGCAGCCGCGGUAAUACGGAGGGAGCUAGCGUUGUUCGGAUUUACUGGGCGUAAAGCGCACGUAGGCGGCGACUCAAGUCAGAGGUGAAAGCCCGGGGCUCAACCCCGGAACUGCCUUUGAAACUAGGUUGCUAGAAUCCUGGAGAGGUUAGUGGAAUUCCGAGUGUAGAGGUGAAAUUCGUAGAUAUUCGGAAGAACACCAGUGGCGAAGGCGACUAACUGGACAGGCAUUGACGCUGAGGUGCGAAAGCGUGGGGAGCAAACAGGAUUAGAUACCCCUGUAGUCCAGCUGG